UACGUAGGGUGCGAGUGUUAAUCGGAAUUACUGGGCGUAAAGCGUGCGCAGGCGGUCUGUUAAGACAGAUGUGAAAUCCCCGGGCUUAACCUGGGAACUGCAUUUGUGACUGGCAGGCUAGAGUAUGGCAGAGGGGGGUAGAAUUCCACGUGUAGCAGUGAAAUGCGUAGAGAUGUGGAGGAAUACCGAUGGCGAAGGCAGCCCCCUGGGCCAAUACUGACGCUCAUGCACGAAAGCGUGGGGAGCAAACAGG
This 253-nucleotide ribosomal RNA is filed under the name uncultured bacterium. Its description in RNAcentral is "partial 16S ribosomal RNA". It matches the Rfam family "Bacterial small subunit ribosomal RNA", at positions 524 to 776 of the family's 1533-position model. The record is from RNAcentral.